RNAcentral lists this small nuclear RNA (113 nucleotides) under Neogobius melanostomus (round goby). Lineage: Eukaryota; Metazoa; Chordata; Actinopteri; Gobiiformes; Gobiidae. The record is from RNAcentral.
GUGUUAGUUCUCUAACACAUAUAAAACUAAAAUUGCGAACGAUAACAGAGAAGAUUAGCAUGGCCCCUGCGCAAGGAUGACACGCCAAAUUCGUGGAAGCGUUCCUCAUUUUG